CAGCCGCCGCGGUAAUACCGGCGGCCCGAGUGGCGGCCACUAUUAUUGGGCUUAAAGCGUCCGUAGCCGGGUUGGUUAGUCUCCCGGGAAAUCUGGCCGCUUAACGGUCAGAAUUCCGGGAGAUACUGCCAGCCUAGGGACCGGGAGAGGCCGAGGGUAUUCCCGGAGUAGGGGUGAAAUCCUAUAAUCCCGGGAGGACCACCUGUGGCGAAGGCGCUCGGCUGGAACGGGUCCGACGGUGAGGGACGAAGGCCAGGGGAGCAAACCGGAUUAGAUACCCGGGUAGUCCUGGCUGUAAACGAUGCGGACUUUGUGUCGGACAAGCUAUGAGCUUGUCCGGUGCCGGAGGGAAACCGUUAAGUCCGCCGCCUGGGGAGUACGGCCGCAAGGCUGAAACUUAAAGAAUUGGCGGG
Molecule: ribosomal RNA, 413 nt
Filed under: uncultured microorganism
Description: bacterial SSU rRNA
Rfam family: Archaeal small subunit ribosomal RNA
Source: RNAcentral